Cynoglossus semilaevis (tongue sole) is the source of this 1859-nucleotide long non-coding RNA. RefSeq lists it as uncharacterized. The record is from RefSeq and is a predicted model, not a curated record. NCBI's taxonomy places the organism in Eukaryota, Metazoa, Chordata, Actinopteri, Pleuronectiformes, Cynoglossidae. The transcript is spliced from 3 exons.
AAUGUAUUAUUAUUAUUAACCUACAUAAUAUAAAUAAUUUGCUGUUUAAAGUUGUUGGUCAUUUAAAGUUUUUCUUCAGAAAAUUCUAUCUUUGUUUUUCUGCAUUGAAGUUUAACUUGGACACGCUUGACUAAAUCUGGUCAUUUUGAUUCCCAUCUACUUUAUUGCUGAUUUGUUUUCAAAGAACUUUAAUCAAAGCUAAUGAAUAUUCUGUUACAUGUUGCUGUUUAGUUCUAAGUUAAUUAAAGUUGUUUCUGUGGAACGGAACAGUGAAGCAACCACAUUAACCCGUCUUGUUGUUAUGGCUGUGUUGUUGCAGAGCGGAUUUUGUGAUUGCAAACAUAUUUGUUUUCAUCACCAAGACGACCCUCCUGUUUCCGAGGAAGACGAGAACAAAGAGACAAGGACGGAUGACAUUCCUGUGUGGGACCAGCGGUUCCUUAAAGUCGACCAGGGAACCCUGUUUGAGCUUGCUCUGCGGCCCCGUACUAAAUGACCUAUGGACCAACACCGGUCCCCGAACCAGGGGUUGGGGACCCCUUCAUUAAAGCACCUGGAGAAUACUGCACUACUAAAUCCUGGUGUGAAUUUCCCAGCAGGAGCAACUCGGUCACAGCAGGUUGAAACAACAGUCAGACUUGCAGGUGUGAAGUAACGUCUGUGCAGAUCCAGACAGGAGAUAUUUGAAUGUGCACCCUGACAGUGUUGGUGCGAUCUGAUGACAGGGUGGCCUCACCUGUAGGAAGGUUAUGAAGUCAUUUUUCACACGUGAAGCUAAGACGAAGCUAACUAUACGAUCGUGCUAAUGCGGACAGGUACAAAUUAAAUCGUCAGUCGUUAUAAUAUACUUUUUUGCAUUAAAAAAGGUGGCAAAACAUGGACUUAUGCUAAUUUGAUCAUUGUAGUGCUGCAGCCACUUGACAUCUAAUUAGGUCGUAUGCAGCCAGUGAACCAAUGAAUUCAUUCAUAAAUUCAAUUAUUGGUCUUUUACACAACAUGUCCUUAAGUCAGAACCGAUUUUAAACCUAGCCUUUGACCACAAACAAUUUGGAUGUCAUUUCUACAUUUUUUUCCCUGUUACGUUAUUUUGGUUAAUGUUUUAUCUUUUGACUAAGUCUUAACUUUUAAUUUGCAAAAAUUUGAUGCUCUGCUGUUUUUAGCGUGAUUUUUGUUUCCCCAUUAGAACGAGCGGCCCUGAAAAAUGGUCUCAGAUACAGUAGGUUCCAAAAUGACACAGACUUACACACAUUAACACCACAUUCACAUUAACACCUGACACCGAUCCGAGGCUAGAUUCCUCUAAAGGUGGUCCUUGAAAUGUUCCCCCUCUGUCAUUUCCCCCUCCGUGUUUUGAGUCCUGGAAAGUGAGCAGAAAAAACACACACUCAUAAAACCUGCACUUUCACCUCCUCUCAUAUUACACCAGCAGGAACCACCAGCGCCUCCCCGGAAUAUUCUACAUUUUGGUCGACUUCCAAAUCAUACAAGUCGAGGCCUUAGCGAGUGAACUAACCCAUUAAGUUUAUGGCUCGGCUCUGCCCCUCUGACUCAGUCUGAUCAGCAUCAGACUGAGUAUUACACUGCGCUCUGGCAGAUGGCUGGUUUUGAUGAGUCACCUAAUGUACACUCGCUGAAGAGUAAAGUCAAACCGGAGAACACACGGAGACCACAGGCGGUCCUGAAGGAGGCUCAGACCUGAGGGACUGCUGAGGAGAGAGGCUUUCCUGUCCCUUAUUGUUAGAACAGCAGUCGGAGGAACUUGAUAUCCACAUCGUGCUGCAACACUUUCCCCUCUGUUGAUGUCACAUUUGCAUUCAUUUCACCUCUUUCUUUUUUUUUAAACUAGUUUUAAAUUUAAU